GCCUAGCCCCGAUAGAAGUGGAAAUCCUUUUGUGGCGGGGUUCGCCACAAAAGAUUGUAACGGAUAGCGGGAUUAGCU
Molecule: small RNA, 78 nt
Filed under: Flavobacterium saccharophilum
Lineage: Bacteria; Pseudomonadati; Bacteroidota; Flavobacteriia; Flavobacteriales; Flavobacteriaceae
Description: Flavo-1 RNA
Rfam family: Flavo-1 RNA
Source: RNAcentral